Molecule: ribosomal RNA, 480 nt
Filed under: Watersipora subtorquata
Lineage: Eukaryota; Metazoa; Bryozoa; Gymnolaemata; Cheilostomatida; Watersiporidae
Description: partial 16S ribosomal RNA
Rfam family: Bacterial large subunit ribosomal RNA
Source: RNAcentral
CCUGUUUAUCAAAAACAUAGCUUCUUGAAACCAUAAGAAGUACCACCUGCCCAGUGUAUUAUAAACGGCCGCGAAAGUGCUAAGGUAGCAUAAUAAUUUGUCUUUUCAUUGAAGACUAGUAUGAAAGGUAUAACGAAGCUUAACUGUCUCCUUAUUUUAAAACAAAACUAAUUUAAAAGUGAAAAAGCUUUUAAGCAGGACGAGAAGACCCUAUAGAGUUUUAGUAAAAAUUAAUAUUUUAUUAAUUAUACUUUUAUUGGGGCAAUACAAGAAAAAUAAAAAUCUUUAUAUUUAUAAACCCUCAAAGAGAACAAAAAAAACUACCUUAGGGAUAACAGCGUAAUCUUACCAGAGAGUCCUAAUUGAAGGUAAGGAUUGCGACCUCGAUGUUGGACUAAGGAAACUUUUAUAUGUAGAAGUAUAAAGUAGUAAGCCUGUUCGGCUUUUAAAACCUUACAUGAUCUGAGUUCAGACCGGAAU